CAAGGAGACUGUUGCCAUGGUGACUCAGAGUUGAGGCCAAUGGCGGCUCCACCAUCCUGUGGCUAUGAUUCCUGAACUUGUGGUCUCCUCAGUUGAUGAGGUGAAGAAAGAAAGCCUGGAGAAUUAUGCACGAGCUUCUCACUGUCUCAGCCCACAAGUAACACACCUCUUUCCCUCACAGCCCACACUGGCUGGAACCAAUCACAUAGCCCUGCCUAACUGCAAGGGAGGCCAGAAAGUGCAACACUUUCUCAUGGUCACGGGUGAGCACGAAACAUCUCUCCAAAUAUGGGUUGGGAAGAUUAAGAGACUAGUCCAGAAGAAAACAGUCUCCAGGGAGAAAUAUAUCUGGGAAUAGGAAUCGAGAAAGCAACCAAGAGAGCAGAACUGAGUGGAUGAGAGGAACUGUCAGACCACAUCUGCAGCUCUGAUUAGUCAAAUCCGAAAUGUGCCUGUUGAUCUACUAUUCCGUGGAAAUACUGGAAUCACCAGCUCAAUAAUAAGAGGAAAGUAAAUAAUACCAUACUUGCGUGGAUAAUUCCCCUCUGCUCAUACCUUCAUUCAGGUCAACAUAGAUCUAUCAUACUCCUACAGUGUAUAAGGGACGUGCUAAGCUUGAAGUACAUUCAUUCUAAAAAUCAAAAUACAAAGGCAUGGGAAGACUAAGAAAAUUUCAUAAACCUUCAUUAAAUUAUCAGAAAUACCUGGGAUUCUCAGCUCCAUUUAUAAAGAAACCAGAGUUACAGUUCUUCCAUUACUGAUUGCUUUCUGGAUUGAAUAUUUGAACUCUGCUUUAGUGAUUCCUCUUGCUUAUAUGUGGGAGGAAGACCCCCUACCCUGAGCCAGCAGCUGGAGCACAGCCUGAACACACAGGCGCUGGAUCCAGGGCAAAAAUGAAGACAUAAGGGACCUUAGGUGACAAGGAAGAAGCUCCCAGGCAGCAUGUGGGAUGGACCCAAGGAGAACGUCAGAGAGAAAGAGUUCAGUCUGGUGUCUCCUGAAGCAGGUUAAAAUUAAGCUCGGCAGGCUCGACGUAAAUGUGCAGACAAAGCAAAGCAGGAAGCCUCCCACACUAAAAAGGGAAGAUAAGAAUCACAGAAGCUGGGAUGGUUUUUAUUGAAGGGCAUUUCAAAGCAAAUACAGACAUCUACAGCAUAUUUGUAAAUCCUCCGUAUGUGUAUGGAAACACACACCUUCACACAUCAAAACUGGAUUUGUUCCUGAGUAACAAAACGUCCUAAGAACAAAAUGAAAGAAAACCAAAUAGCAGAAAAAUACUUCCAAUGUAUAUACCACAAAGGAUUAUUUAUCAACUCAACACACCAAGAGUUAAGAAAAUAAUGCAACAGGAACAAAGGGCAAAGGAUAUGUACUGGGAAGACCACAGAGAAAGAAAAUGCAAAUGGCUAAUAAUAUAAAAUAUUUCCUAGGUUCAAUAGUAAUCAGGGAAAGACAAAAUUACACUUUUGACCUCUUAGACUGGCAGUGACAAAGAUUAUUUGAGUGACCAAGCUUUAGUCAGGCUCCUGGAUCUUCUAGGCCCAUCUGGGCACUUCCUCGUAAAAUACAGUUUUAACAAAAGCCCUGCUAAAUUGGUUUACCGAGAACUCCCACCCUCAAUCGAGUUCCUUAGCCCUUCACCUUUCCUCAGGUGAGGGCUGAUCAUCCUGUCCUGUCUUCAGCAAGACUGCUCUAACGCUGACGUUUCCUUUUAGUAAUUUUCCAUCCACUGACACCCACUUGUAAUUUAUAGCCAAGGAGCAAGAUACACUGCUCCUUGGCUAUAAGUUAUUUUCCCUGUUACAUUCAGAGUUGAGCCCAAUCCCACUCCCCGACUACAAAAUCGAUAGCAGUGGUCCCUAUACCUAUUGCAAUGGUCCUAAAUAAAACCUGCCUUACCGUGCUUGAACAAGUG
RNAcentral lists this long non-coding RNA (1915 nucleotides) under Homo sapiens (human). RNAcentral describes it as "HSALNT0337563". Lineage: Eukaryota; Metazoa; Chordata; Mammalia; Primates; Hominidae. The record is from RNAcentral.